GUGGGGAAUAUUGGACAAUGGGGGGAACCCUGAUCCAGCCAUGCCGCGUGUGUGAAGAAGGCCUUUUGGUUGUAAAGCACUUUAAGCGAGGAGGAGGCUACCGAGAUUAAUACUCUUGGAUAGUGGACGUUACUCGCAGAAUAAGCACCGGCUAACUCUGUGCCAGCAGCCGCGGUAAUACAGAGGGUGCAAGCGUUAAUCGGAUUUACUGGGCGUAAAGCGCGCGUAGGUGGCCAAUUAAGUCAAACGUGAAAUCCCCGAGCUUAACUUGGGAAUUGCAUUCGAUACUGGUUGGCUAGAGUAUGGGAGAGGAUGGUAGAAUUCCAGGUGUAGCGGUGAAAUGCGUAGAGAUCUGGAGGAAUACCGAUGGCGAAGGCAGCCAUCUGGCCUAAUACUGACACUGAGGUGCGAAAGCAUGGGGAGCAAACAGGAUUAGAUACCCGGGUAGUCC
RNAcentral lists this ribosomal RNA (451 nucleotides) under uncultured bacterium. RNAcentral describes it as "partial 16S ribosomal RNA". It matches the Rfam family "Bacterial small subunit ribosomal RNA", at positions 354 to 796 of the family's 1533-position model. The record is from RNAcentral.